RNA transcript from Parus major (Great Tit), 2483 nucleotides. It is a transcript of the gene named VHL binding protein 1, with no coding region annotated. The transcript is spliced from 6 exons. The record is from RefSeq and is a predicted model, not a curated record. NCBI's taxonomy places the organism in Eukaryota, Metazoa, Chordata, Aves, Passeriformes, Paridae.
GAAGAUGUAGAUUCUUUUAUGAAACAACCUGGAAAUGAGACAGCAGAUGUAGUUCUUAAGAAGCUGGAUGAGCAGUAUCAGAAGUAUAAAUUUCUGGAACUUAAUCUUGCUCAAAAGAAAAGGAGGCUAAAAAGUCAGAUUCCUGAAAUUAAACAGACAUUAGAAAUUUUAAAACACAUGCAGAAGAAAAAGGAUUCCACACAUCCAAUGGAAACCAGAUUUUUAUUGGCAGAUAAUCUGUACUGCAAAGCUUCAGUUCCUCCUACAGAUAAAGUUUGUUUGUGGUUGGGGGCCAAUGUGAUGCUUGAAUAUGAUAUUGAUGAAGCUCAGGCUCUGUUAGAGAAGAAUUUGUCAACAGCCACGAAAAAUCUCGAUCUUCUAGAGGAAGACCUGGAUUUUCUCAGAGAUCAGUUCACCACUACAGAAGUCAGUAUCCUUUUCAUUAAUGUGAGGGAGGAGAUGUAUGGGAAAGCCAACAUCCAGGGCUGAGUUGGAAGUUGGUGUAUGAGAGGUAACAAAACUUGUAUUUGUGUCCUCAUGAAAUCUACAGCAGUGGUUGCAACCCAGACUGACUCUGGAGUGAGUUGAAGUGUGGAUUGAUGCCCAAGUGAUCACCUUAAAGCAGUGACCCUUUCUCUAGGGCUUGUUAGGGGUGAAAAAUUCAAUUCCAUGGAAGCAGCGGACAUGAAAAGUGUGGCUGAUGGAUCCUGGCAUAAAUGAAAGGGGGCGUGAGUCAGCACAUCUGAAUUGGUGACUGAAAGCAAGUGAUUUACCAGCACUGUGCCUGUCAGAAAGUGAGCUGCAGGGAAGGGCAGAGAGAAGGUAAACCCUUAGCAUUGAUCGCCAGUAACUGCCUGGGCUCAUCCCUUCCCCACAGCAAAUACUGUUUGUUUCAGUGUCUGUGGCUGCAGCAGAGGAACAUGGAACUCUACCGUAUUUUCAAACAGGUAUCUGCUACAGCACCAGAAUGUGGCACUGGACAGGCUGUAGGCUGCUGCUUUCCAUUUUCUUUUUCUAGCAUCAGCAACGAUGGAAAGACAGCUGCAAACAGAGCCUGAUUUCUCUUACAGUUUUUUCUUUGAUUUUGAUUAAUGCAAUCCUAACAGGCUGUGCUCCCACCCCCCCACCCCAGGCUGGUCCUAAGGCAGCAAUUGCUUGCCUUUGUUGUGCAAAAUGAAACGACCAGUUAAGCAUUUUUGCACAGCAGAAGCAGAGCCAAACAAAAUCAACACUAUGCCACUGCCAGGAACCUGCUGCUGCAUGUUAGAGAGGACAGGGUGACAGCCUUGGAGUUGAAAUGGCUCCUGUGUUCAAAGGUGUCUGGUUCCUGGGGGAUGGGAGAUGGCUGUGGCCAUCAUAACUCAGGAUUUGGUGUUUAUGUGUUUGAUCUGAGGUAAAUAAAAACCCCCAAAAGUGGGAUCAGUGACUAAUCCUUGCCUAGGUCUGCUCUGCGCUUUGUUGUUGUAGCUGCCAUACCACCAGACCUGCAGAGGCCUCCUGGAGGGGCCAAGGCUGCAGUGGCUGCAACUGCUGGAAGCAGGGGGUGGUUUUGUCUCAGAGCAGUUUGUCUGUUUUUUCUCAGCAAGGCAGAGGACAGGUGCAAAGUGAGGCAGGCCCUACAGGAAGUGUCCAGUGGCUGUGAGGCAGUGCCUGGGAAUGGUGGAUCCAGCCCUGGCUGGAAUACAGAGCAGAGAUAGGGAGCAGGGAAACACACUAAGAGAGAAUGGGUAGGAGGAAAGGGGGAAAAAAAACCCACCAAAGUUUCUUUACAAGUUUUGAAUUUCACAUUAUCACGUAGUAACCAUUUUGCUAAAUACAAGCAUAUUUUCAGUCACAUACAGGCAGCUAAAUACAGCAUUAUUUUCACAUUUCAUUACAGUGCAUAACAAAGCAAGGACAGUGUAAAGUAUGCUUUUAUUCUGGAGGUUCUGAGCAAGUUCAGUCUAACAUGCAGAUUGUUUUUAAUAUGUGGUAGAGACCACAGAAAGUUAGCUUUUGCUUUUUUUUUCUCUUUUUGUCCUAGAGUAUAAGAGCUCCUGACCUUUAGCCUAUGAAAGGUAUCACCUGAUUUCUCAAAGUCCCUCUAAGUCAAAGCAUUAAAACCAGUUGUUAGAAAAGAAUUCUUAGCAUAUCCAAUAAGUAUUUAAUCUUAGAAAAAUCAUUCCAAAUUUUGUACAGAUGAAUCUACAUUUCCUGUAUUUUAAUAAGCUGUCUAGAAAAUGCAAGGAAUUAGAAAAAGAUGUAGAUAAUGAUUUCUCUAUCAUUUAAUAUAACAAUUUAUUAACUCUAAGUAGUUAAGACUGUGUACAUUUUCUUCUGUAAUGUUCCUCUUUAGAAUUACAACACUUCUGUAUUUAAACUGAAGAUUCACUCUGAAGAUUUCACUCUGAAUGCACUUACUGGCUUAGGCUUUCUAGAAUUUCUCCCUGGGAGCAGUAAAGGGGAAUGUCCAAAACGCAUUAAAUAAAAUAUUGUCUGUCUCA